This is a small nuclear RNA of Suncus etruscus (white-toothed pygmy shrew), 103 nucleotides long. The record is from RefSeq and is a predicted model, not a curated record. NCBI's taxonomy places the organism in Eukaryota, Metazoa, Chordata, Mammalia, Eulipotyphla, Soricidae.
CCACUUCAGCAGCACAUUUACUAAAAGAGGAAUAAUACAGAGAAUAUUAACAUGGUCCCUGUGCAAAGAUGACAUUCAAAUCCAUGAAAUGUUCCAUGUGUUU